This is a non-coding RNA of Microcebus murinus (gray mouse lemur), 1761 nucleotides long. Lineage: Eukaryota; Metazoa; Chordata; Mammalia; Primates; Cheirogaleidae. The record is from RefSeq and is a predicted model, not a curated record.
GACCCCGGGAGACUCCACGGGAGGAGGCUGCGGAGGAGAUCUGGAGGCAGAGACCGCCGGAGCAGCCCGGAGACCAUCGGCAAGGAUAACAGACUGGAACACCCAUGACACUGCCCUGAAAUUGCUGUCAGAUUUCAGAGGAGGAAGCACCUACUUUUGCUGGAGAGGAAAGUGAGGCCUGCAUGGAAGAAAUGGUGUGGGACUCGAGAAUUGAAAAAUGGAUACAAGAUUAGCAAGCAGAAAAUAUGAAAAGGCACAUUUUGAGUAAAAGAAAUAAAAUGUGUGAAAUAUAAAAAAGGGAGAAGACAAGGAAAAGAUUGGGCAUGUAUUCAUAAAAACACGUUCUCUGAAAGCAACAUGCAGUCAGGGAGUCUGACAUGCGAGGUGCCCAGGGCACAGGGAGAGUGCUGGGAGCAGGGCUGGGGUCAGAGGAAGGACAGACCACACCUCCCUGUGGAGGUGUCGUCACAGUGCAGUAAAGACCGGGAUUUAUUCCCAUAGAAAAUGAAGAGUUACUGGUAAUAGAAGAGCAACUGUUCUUUUCCAGUGUCAUGUGGAAUAGCCUUGCAGUAGGGAGAAGGGCAGGGUUAAUGUUGUAAAAAUAGGAGAAAAAGAGUCAACCCAAGACGCUAUUGAAAAUUAUCCGAGAAUCAGGUACACCUCAUAUAACGUUACUUUGCGUUUGGAAAUAAAGAAUAUGAGUGUAUGUAAAAAAAAAAGAAAAGAAAAAGAAAAAGAAAGUGGGCAGAGUGAUCCCAGAGGGCUCCUUUGUGGACUUUGGCAGAGUAGAGAGGGAGAGAGAAGAGAACCAUGUUCCCCAUGACAGGCCUUCCAUGAUCUCCCUGCUGGAGACAAGAGGAGAGUCCCGAGGAGGGGGAUUGGAGGGCACAGUGAGCUCCCUCGCUUGUGAGCCCAAGCAGAAGUUGGUGCUUCAGUUACCUAAAUUCAGGAAUACAAUUUUUCAGAUCCUCUGGGCCCUGAAACUGCAUGGUCUCAGAACUCCCUGUGUUCCUUUCUGCCCACACAGACAUGUGUUUGUUCCUUGUCCUCAUUCUGCUCCCUCCCUGCCCCUGCCCGGGGCCAUGGGAGAGUCUUUCAAAGCCACUGUGGCUGUACUUCCCCUCUUUGGGUACAGGACUUGCUCCAGGCUUCGUUUCCCAUCCUCUGUCUGCUUCAACCCUUCUCUUCUCUGGGACUUCCCAGCCUCAACCCUGUUGACAUUGCUCCUAGAUUCUUCUUCCUCCUGGCUUUCAUUUAACUUAUCCUCAGUGCAGCAUCUUUGGAUCAUCCUCUUUAGCUCCAGGCUCAACAGCCAAGGGCAACUGAAGUCCUGCUCUUGGGGCCAACCCAACGCCCAGAUGUAGGUCAGGCCGAGAGCCCAGGCUUUGGAGAAGGGGGAGGCUAUUCUGAUAAUAUCUGAGUCCUGUUUCUGUAGCAGCCAGUGUUAAUGCCUCCACCCCAGACCCCUCCAUUUCCCUUGGAGCCUAAAUUUCAGUAUCUGCAUCUCUGUACCUGAGGACUUUGCCCCUCCUUUGCUCCAGAAGUGCCACAGCCACCAGAGCGGUUCUCAACAAAGACUGAUGAGAGAGGAAGUAACCCAGCUCCUAACCCACACAAAGAGGAGGUCACGUCAGGACACAGCCAGAUGGCCGCUGCCCACAAGCCAAAAGAAGAGGACCCAGGUUGAAACCUACCUUCCCAACACCUUGAUCUCAGACUUCUCAGCCUCCAAACUGUGAGAAAUAAAUUUCUGUCAUUUAA